AGCAGGGCGGGCGGUCGCGGCUGCAAGUCCCGAAAGGGCGCAGACGAGGAAAGUCCGGGCUUCACAGGGCAGGAUGCCGGAUAACGUCCGGUGGAGGUGACUCCCAGGCCAGUGCAACAGAGAUAUACCGCGAAGCAGGUAAGAGACUACCGUCUUCGUGGUAACACGGAGAGCCAUGUAAACCCCAUCCGAAGCAAGACCGAAUAGAGAGCUAUGAGCUUGCCCGGCUCGCUCUCAGGUGGGUCGCUUGAGGCCGUCGGCGACGGCGGUCCUAGAUAGAUGACCGUUCAAGACAUAACCCGGCUUACAGCUCUGCUUAU
Molecule: RNase P RNA, 320 nt
Filed under: bovine gut metagenome
Description: Bacterial RNase P class A
Rfam family: Bacterial RNase P class A
About the family: Ribonuclease P (RNase P) is a ubiquitous endoribonuclease, found in archaea, bacteria and eukarya as well as chloroplasts and mitochondria. Its best characterised activity is the generation of mature 5'-ends of tRNAs by cleaving the 5'-leader elements of precursor-tRNAs. Cellular RNase Ps are ribonucleoproteins.
Source: RNAcentral